Non-coding RNA from Danionella cerebrum, 74 nucleotides. The record is from the annotation of a GenBank genome assembly. Lineage: Eukaryota; Metazoa; Chordata; Actinopteri; Cypriniformes; Danionidae.
GCUUUCAUGUGGCGCAGUUGGUGGAGCAUUGGGCUAACAACGCAAAUGUCUUGGGUUCAAAUCCCAGGGAUUUG